AGAUAUGAUCCAGAGUACCACGGGACACGUGAAACCCUGUGGGAAGCAGGAGGGACCACCCUCCAAGGCUAAAUACUACCUAGUGACCGAUAGCGUAUAGUACCGAGAGGGAAAGGCGAAAAGAACCCCGGGAGGGGAGUGAAACAGAACCUGAAACCCUGCACUUACAAGUUGUGGAAGCCCAUCUAUUGUGUGACCGCGUACUUUUUGUAGAACCGGCCAACGAGUUACGUUAAGUAGCAAGGUUAAGCACUUAAGGUGCGGAGCCGUAGCGAAAGCGAGUUUUAACUGAGCGUUCAGUUACUUGACGUAGACCCGAAACCGGGCGACCUAGCCAUGAGCAGGAUGAAGCGAAAGUAAAAUUUCGUGGAGGUCCGAACCCGCGGGCGUUGAAAAGCUCGGGGAUGACUUGUGGGUAGCGGUGAAAUACCAAUCGAACCCGGAGAUAGCUGGUUCUCCCCGAAAUAGCUUUAGGGCUAGCCUCAAGGUGAGAGAUACGGAGGUAGAGCACUG
RNAcentral lists this ribosomal RNA (513 nucleotides) under Clostridioides difficile. Its description in RNAcentral is "partial 23S ribosomal RNA". It matches the Rfam family "Bacterial large subunit ribosomal RNA", at positions 398 to 912 of the family's 2925-position model. Lineage: Bacteria; Bacillati; Bacillota; Clostridia; Peptostreptococcales; Peptostreptococcaceae. The record is from RNAcentral.